UGAAUUGACGGGUCCCCGCACAAGCAGCGGAGCGUGUGGUUUAAUUCGUUUGCUACACGAAGAACCUUACCUGGGUUUGACAUAGCAGUGGUAGGGAAGAGAAAUCGGACGACCCUUCGGGGAGCUGUUACAGGUGUUGCAUGGCUGUCGUCAGCUCGUGUCGUGAGAUGUUCGGUUAAGUCCGCUAACGAGCGCAACCCGCGUUGUGUGUUAUAUGUGUCACACGGGACUGCCGGUCUUAAGCCGGAGGAGGGUGGGGAUGAUGUCAAGUCAGCAUGGCCUUUAUAUCCUGGGCUACACACACGCUACAAUGGCCAACACAAUAGGUUGCUAAGCCGCGAGGUGGCGCCAAUCCAUAAAGUUGGUCUCAGUUCAGAUUGUAGGCUGCAACCCGCCUGCAUGAAGAUGGAGUUGCUAGUAACCGCAGGUCAGCUAUACUGCGGUGAAUACGUUCCCGGGGCUU
RNAcentral lists this ribosomal RNA (463 nucleotides) under uncultured Anaerolineaceae bacterium. RNAcentral describes it as "bacterial SSU rRNA". It matches the Rfam family "Bacterial small subunit ribosomal RNA", at positions 907 to 1382 of the family's 1533-position model. Lineage: Bacteria; Bacillati; Chloroflexota; Anaerolineae; Anaerolineales; Anaerolineaceae. The record is from RNAcentral.